This is a non-coding RNA of Araneus ventricosus, 71 nucleotides long. Lineage: Eukaryota; Metazoa; Arthropoda; Arachnida; Araneae; Araneidae. The record is from the annotation of a GenBank genome assembly.
UCGGUGGCCUAGCGGUAAGGUGUCGGCUCGGAACCGACGAGUUUCCGGGUUCAAAACCCGAUUCCACUGAA